This 345-nucleotide unclassified non-coding RNA is filed under the name soil metagenome. RNAcentral's name for it is "partial contains 5.8S ribosomal RNA, internal transcribed spacer 2, and large subunit ribosomal RNA". The stretch from base 1 to 119 matches the Rfam family "5.8S ribosomal RNA", at positions 35 to 154 of the family's 154-position model. The record is from RNAcentral.
GAUGAAGAACGUAGCGAAAUGCGAUACGUAAUGUGAAUUGCAAAUUCAGUGAAUCAUCGAGUCUUUGAACGCACAUUGCGCCCCCUGGUAUUCCGGGGGGCAUGCCUGUCCGAGCGUCAUUGCUACCCUCAAGCACGGCUUGUGUGUUGGGCCCCGUCCUCCGAUCCCGGGGGACGGGCCCGAAAGGCAGCGGCGGCACCGCGUCCGGUCCUCGAGCGUAUGGGGCUUUGUCACCCGCUCUGUAGGCCCGGCCGGCGCUUGCCGAUCAACCCAAAUUUUUAUCCAGGUUGACCUCGGAUCAGGUAGGGAUACCCGCUGAACUUAAGCAUAUCAAUAAGCGGAGGA